GCUCAACCGAAGAAGUGCAUCGGAAACUGGGAAACUUGAGUGCAGAAGAGGACAGUGGAACUCCAUGUGUAGCGGUGAAAUGCGUAGAUAUAUGGAAGAACACCAGUGGCGAAGGCGGCUGUCUGGCCUGUAACUGACGCUGAGGCUCGAAAGUAUGGGUAGCAAACAGGAUUAGAUACCCUGGUAGUCCAUACCGUAAACGAUGAAUGCUAAGUGUUGGAGGGUUUCCGCCCUUCAGUGCUGCAGCUAACGCAUUAAGCAUUCCGCCUGGGGAGUACGGCCGCAAGGCUGAAACUCAAAGGAAUUGACGGGGGCCCGCACAAGCGGUGGAGCAUGUGGUUUAAUUCGAAGCUACGCGAAGAACCUUACCAGGUCUUGACAUACUAUGCAAAUCUAAGAGAUUAGACGUUCCCUUCGGGGACAUGGAUACAGGUGGUGCAUGGUUGUCGUCAGCUCGUGUCGUGAGAUGUUGGGUUAAGUCCCGCAACGAGCGCAACCCUUAUUAUCAGUUGCCAGCAUUAAGUUGGGCACUCUGGUGAGACUGCCGGUGACAAACCGGAGGAAGGUGGGGAUGACGUCAAAUCAUCAUGCCCCUUAUGACCUGAGCUACACACGUGCUACAAUGGAUGGUACAACG
This 637-nucleotide ribosomal RNA is filed under the name uncultured bacterium. RNAcentral describes it as "bacterial SSU rRNA". It matches the Rfam family "Bacterial small subunit ribosomal RNA", at positions 607 to 1244 of the family's 1533-position model. The record is from RNAcentral.